CCCUUAACUAUUAAAAGUUUCGUUUUGGUCCUUUAAAUUACUUUUUGGUUUCGUUUUGGUCCCUUAACUCUUCCUCCGUCAACCACUUUGAUCCUUUAUGUUAGGAUGAAUGUAUUAGAGUUAAGGGACCAAAAUGAAACCAAAAAAUAGGUUAAGGGACCAAAACGAAACCAAAAAAUAAGUUAAGGGACCAAAACGAAACCAAAAAAUAAGUUAAGGGACCAAAACGAAACUUUUAAUAGUUAAGGGA
Molecule: microRNA precursor, 250 nt
Filed under: Medicago truncatula (barrel medic)
Lineage: Eukaryota; Viridiplantae; Streptophyta; Magnoliopsida; Fabales; Fabaceae
Description: MIR2655 microRNA precursor family
Rfam family: MIR2655 microRNA precursor family
Source: Rfam by way of RNAcentral